This 706-nucleotide long non-coding RNA is filed under the name Homo sapiens (human). RNAcentral describes it as "non-protein coding lnc-UGT2A3-3:1". Lineage: Eukaryota; Metazoa; Chordata; Mammalia; Primates; Hominidae. The record is from RNAcentral.
GAAAUAGAAGAAUUUUUCCAGCGCUCUGAUAAGGAUGGUGUUGUUGUGUUUUCUCUGGAGUCAGUUGUGAAAAACCUUACAGAAGAAAAGGUUUAUCUUAUCACUUCCGCCCUGGCUCAGAUUCCACAAAAAGGGUUUUAUAGAGAUUCAAAGGAAAGAAACCAGCUACACUGGGAACCAAUACUCAGCUCUACGUUUGGAUAUGCCAGAGCGAUCUAGGUCAUGCACAAACCAAAGCUUUUAUCACUCAUGGUGAUAUAAAUGGGGUCUAUGAAGCUAUUUACCAUGGAGUCCCUAUGGUGGGAGUUUCCUAUGUUUGGUGAUCAUCUUGACAACACCUCUCACAUGAAAGCCAAAGGAGCAGCUGUGCAGCUGAACAUGAAUACAAUUACAGGUACAGAUUUGCUUAGGUCUUUGAGAACAGGUAUCCCAAUUAUAAAGAGAAUGCUAUAAGGUUAUCAAAAAUUCACCAUGAUCGACCUGUAAAGCCCCUGGGUUGAGCAGUUUUCUGGAUCAAGUUUGUCAUGCACCACAAAGGAGCCAAGCACCCUCGGCUAGCUGCGCACAACCUCUCCUAGUACCAGUGCCACUCUUUGGGUGUGAUUGUGGUUUUGCUGGUCUGUGUGGCAACGGCUAUAUUUUUGGUCACAAAACUUUGUUUGAUUUCCUGUCGAACAUUUGGUAAAAUAGGAAAGAAGAAAAAGAG